This 250-nucleotide ribosomal RNA is filed under the name uncultured bacterium. RNAcentral describes it as "partial 16S ribosomal RNA". It matches the Rfam family "Bacterial small subunit ribosomal RNA", at positions 525 to 774 of the family's 1533-position model. The record is from RNAcentral.
ACAGAGGUGUCAAGCGUUGCUCGGUGUCACUGGGCUUAAAGGGCGCGUAGGCUGCGCGGUACGGUUCGGGUGAAAUCCCUCGGCUCAACCGAGGAACUGCCCGGGCGACGGCCGUGCUUGACUGCAUCAGGGGCGGAUGGAACUCCCGGUGGAGCGGUGAAAUGCGUAGAUAUCGGGAGGAACGCCGGUGGCGAAAGCGAUCCGCUGGGGUGCAUGUGACGCUGAGGCGCGAAAGCUAGGGGAGCAAACG